RNAcentral lists this ribosomal RNA (500 nucleotides) under Cyrestis thyodamas (common map butterfly). Its description in RNAcentral is "partial 16S ribosomal RNA". Lineage: Eukaryota; Metazoa; Arthropoda; Insecta; Lepidoptera; Nymphalidae. The record is from RNAcentral.
UGUUUUAUCAAAAACAUGUCUUUUUGAUAAUAAUUUAAAGUCUAAUCUGCCCACUGAUAAUAAAAUUAAAGGGCUGCAGUAUAUUGACUGUACAAAGGUAGCAUAAUCAUUAGUCUUUUAAUUGAAGACUUGUAUGAAAGAUUUGAUGAAAUAUAAACUGUCUCUAAUUUAUUUAUAAAAUUUAAUUUUUUAGUUAAAAAGCUAAAAUAAAAUUAAAAGACGAGAAGACCCUAUAGAGUUUUAUAUAUUAAUUAAUUAAAAUUAAUUAUAAAAUUAUAUAUUUAAAUUAAUUAAUAUAUUAUGUUGGGGUGAUAGAAAAAUUAAAAUAACUUUUUUUUUAAAAAAAACAUAAAUAAAUGAUUAAUUGAUCCAUUAAUAAUGAUUAUAAGAGAAAAUUACCUUAGGGAUAACAGCGUAAUAUUUUUUUUUAGUACAAAUAAAAAAGAAAGUUUGCGACCUCGAUGUUGGAUUAAGAUAAAAUUUAAAUGCAAAAGUUAAAG